UUAAGCACAAUCAAGAGUUGUUUUGAAGUGUGACUUCACCAUUAUCUUUAAACUUAAUUAAAGGUUGUAAUCACUGAGGUGAUUGAGGGGGAGUGAGUAGGAACUCUGAUCUUAGUGUAAGAUUGAAAUUGCAUUGGGUAUGUAUUAAGUGAUAGGAUUAAACAGUUGGUUUAAGGUCUGAAUUAAUACUACUAAUUGUGGAUUUCCUCCCUGGCUUGGUAGCCCCCAGACGUAGGUGUGUGUGACACCGAACUGGG
Molecule: long non-coding RNA, 257 nt
Filed under: Lathyrus oleraceus (garden pea)
Lineage: Eukaryota; Viridiplantae; Streptophyta; Magnoliopsida; Fabales; Fabaceae
Description: Pisum sativum (pea) long non-coding RNA (PSAT_LNC000617)
Source: RNAcentral